Molecule: long non-coding RNA, 740 nt
Organism: Peromyscus californicus insignis
Lineage: Eukaryota; Metazoa; Chordata; Mammalia; Rodentia; Cricetidae
Exons: 3
Source: RefSeq, a predicted model, not a curated record
ACAAAAUGAUUUAUCUCAUGCUCUUUAUCUUGCUCGCCCCUCCCCUCUGCAUAGCCUAGUGUGUGAAGAAGAAAGGGAAGAAACAAAGGAAGAGGAAGGGCAAGAGAGGAAAGUCGGAAGGGAGGAUUGGUGAACAGAUACAGGGACAGGCACAUGGACGGAUGAUGAGUGGGUUGAUGGGGUGGGUGGGUAGACAGGUGGAUGGAUGGGGGAUGGAUAGGUGAGUAGGUGGAAUAAUGAUGAGUGGGUGGAUGGAUGGAUGGGUGGACAGAUGCCUCUGAAGUUAUAUGAAGACACAAUUUGAGAGGCAGCAAGGUGUCAUUGAAGGAGCAGUGGAUGAAAACUAAGAAGUCCUGGGUUUGGGAUCUGAAUGAACCAAGAAGAGUUGUACUACUAUCUGCAUUUUUCUUGAACCUCUGUUUCCCAAUUUUCCAAUGGAUGAAGUGGAAGUGAUGUCCCAGCAGAUGUUCACGGGCUCCCAACAGAAGGCUAGCAGCAGCAUGGUGCUAUAAGUUAUACAAAGGCUAACAGGAGAGAGAGAGAAAAAGGUUCCAGCUCCCUUGUAUAACGGCGUGACAGUAAUGCACCCUGGUCCUCGGCAGCACAGUAAAUUCCUCCUCUCUGAAUUGUUGGUUCGGGACAAUCAUUCAGCAGGGAAUUACUUUCUCAUCUAUGAAAUAAAUGAGAUGUUAAACUAGUUUUCUGCUUCCUGUGGUACAAAUGUAUCAGUGUGUAGCCCC